This 329-nucleotide non-coding RNA is filed under the name Desulfoscipio gibsoniae DSM 7213. RNAcentral's name for it is "Desulfotomaculum gibsoniae DSM 7213 Bacterial large subunit ribosomal RNA". It matches the Rfam family "Bacterial large subunit ribosomal RNA", at positions 1361 to 1685 of the family's 2925-position model. The record is from Rfam by way of RNAcentral. Lineage: Bacteria; Bacillati; Bacillota; Clostridia; Eubacteriales; Desulfallaceae.
CAUAUUUAUUUGCUAUCUAAUAGUAGGUAAUCUGUAUAAACCAUUGGGUCACAUAUUGGUCUUAAGAAGGUGCAAUUAGUUGUUAAUAAGAAAGCUGCUAUUAGGAUGGGGUGACACAGGAGGGCAAGCCAAGCGCGCGGUUGGAAAAGCGCGUCCAAGCCCGUAGGCGAACUGCAGGCAAAACCGCAGUUCAUAAAGCCUGAGAGGUUAUGGGGAGCGAAAACAAGUAGCGAAGUGGCUGCACCCAAACUGUCAAGAAAAACCUCUAACGAGGCUAUAAGGUGCCCGUACCGCAAACCGACACAGGUAGGUGGGGUGAGAAUCCUAAG